This is a long non-coding RNA of Vicia villosa (hairy vetch), 840 nucleotides long. RefSeq lists it as uncharacterized. The transcript has 2 exons. Lineage: Eukaryota; Viridiplantae; Streptophyta; Magnoliopsida; Fabales; Fabaceae. The record is from RefSeq and is a predicted model, not a curated record.
CUUCCUUUCAACCUAACCUUCUCUCCCUCGUACGAUUUCCGGCGACGAAGCGCCACCGUAAACCACCAUCCCUAACUUUUUCAAACAUCAAAACUUAAACUCGAAUCCUACUUUAUCUCUAAUCUAAACGCGAGUAUGAACCUGGAUUUCAACUAAUCUCCCUCACUCAACGGGAUCGAAGAAGGAAAUCGGAAACCCUAAGAAUUGGGGCUUCAUCAUUCAAACGCAAUUACAUGGAAUUGAAGCAUACAGAGUACUGAUAGAAUUAUAGACGGACAUACGGGAGUUAAGGAAUGCUUAAACGGAACCUGUCACGUCGACCUGAGCUUCCGGUGCGGUGGCGGAGAUUCCCGACCAUCGCGAACUCAGGGCCUUUAUCUUGAAUGAAUUUUGAGCAUUAAAAGCUACAAGGCUUGAAGCUUGAAGUCUGAAGAUGUGUGAUGCAUAAGAGGAUGACUCAUGGUAUGGACCCGUUUCAAACUGAUAUUGCAAUCUCUGAUUUUCUGUCAUGUUUCGAUGAAGAGUGGAACGGCUUUGUGGUCGUAGGUUCUGGCUGGAGAGCAAAAGGAGAGCUCGCAAACGAAUGGAACCUAAUGUUCGGAGGAUGGUGAACUUACAGAUUGGGGCAAAAAGUCUUGAAGAAUAGGUUUUAGUGUUUGUGUAGUAUUGUAUGGCUCGGUUUAGCCUUAGUGAUGACAUGUACGCAGGGCUGCCAUUGGCUUGUGAAUGUAUGUGUUUUGCUGUACUGUGAUGUGUUUGUGACUGUGUGAACAUUUGGUCUCUUGUAAAGAAUCAUGGUUUAGAAUGAAAGUGGUGAUGUCUAGAGAUUAGGAACAGAAA